This 74-nucleotide transfer RNA is filed under the name Streptomyces sp. NRRL S-104. Its description in RNAcentral is "tRNA-Lys". It matches the Rfam family "tRNA". From Rfam's summary of the family: Transfer RNA (tRNA) molecules are approximately 80 nucleotides in length. Their secondary structure includes four short double-helical elements and three loops (D, anti-codon, and T loops). Further hydrogen bonds mediate the characteristic L-shaped molecular structure. tRNAs have two regions of fundamental functional importance: the anti-codon, which is responsible for specific mRNA codon recognition, and the 3' end, to which the tRNAs corresponding amino acid is attached (by aminoacyl-tRNA synthetases). tRNAs cope with the degeneracy of the genetic code in two manners: having more than one tRNA (with a specific anti-codon) for a particular amino acid; and 'wobble' base-pairing, i.e. permitting non-standard base-pairing at the 3rd anti-codon position. The record is from RNAcentral. Lineage: Bacteria; Bacillati; Actinomycetota; Actinomycetes; Kitasatosporales; Streptomycetaceae. RNAcentral also lists the same sequence under 1 other name.
GCGCCGCUAGCUCAGUUGGUUAGAGCAGCUGACUCUUAAUCAGCGGGUCCAGGGUUCGAGUCCCUGGCGGCGCA